AUCCUUUCGCAGAGAGCAAUUUCAUAGUCUGGAAGGUGUAUCUGAGAGCGUGAUUAUUACUGGUUGAAAACUUAGCUCCAAUAUCCCGCCUGGAUGACUUGAAAUACAGUCAGCUGUGGCAAUUUUUUGUUGUGUCUUUCAGGAGA
Molecule: small nuclear RNA, 146 nt
Organism: Siniperca chuatsi (mandarin fish)
Lineage: Eukaryota; Metazoa; Chordata; Actinopteri; Centrarchiformes; Sinipercidae
Product: U4 spliceosomal RNA
Exons: 1
Source: RefSeq, a predicted model, not a curated record